ACUCCUACGGGAGGCAGCAGUGGGGAAUAUUGGACAAUGGGGGGAACCCUGAUCCAGCCAUGCCGCGUGUGUGAAGAAGGCCUUUUGGUUGUAAAGCACUUUAAGCGAGGAGGAGGCUUACCUGGUUAAUAACCCGGGACUGAAGUAGGACGUUACUCGCAGAAUAAGCACCGGCUAACUCUGUGCCAGCAGCCGCGGUAAUACAGAGGGUGCAAGCGUUAAUCGGAUUUACUGGGCGUAAAGCGCGCGUAGGUGGCUAAUUAAGUCAAAUGUGAAAUCCCCGAGCUUAACUUGGGAAUUGCAUUCGAUACUGGUUAGCUAGAGUAUGGGAGAGGAUGGUAGAAUUCCAGGUGUAGCGGUGAAAUGCGUAGAGAUCUGGAGGAAUACCGAUGGCGAAGGCAGCCAUCUGGCCUAAUACUGACACUGAGGUGCGAAAGCAUGGGGAGCAAACAGGAUUAGAUACCCUGGUAGCUACGAGU
This 479-nucleotide ribosomal RNA is filed under the name uncultured bacterium. RNAcentral describes it as "bacterial SSU rRNA". It matches the Rfam family "Bacterial small subunit ribosomal RNA", at positions 335 to 800 of the family's 1533-position model. The record is from RNAcentral.